AAGAUUAGCCAUGCAUGUCUAAGUAUAAGCAAUCUAUACUGUGAAACUGCGAAUGGCUCAUUAAAUCAGUUAUCGUUUAUUUGAUAGUACCUUACUACUUGGAUAACCGUGGUAAUUCUAGAGCUAAUACAUGCUAAAAACCCCGACUUCGGAAGGGGUGUAUUUAUUAGAUAAAAAACCAAUGCCCUUCGGGGCUCCUUGGUGAAUCAUGAUAACUUAACGAAUCGCAUGGCCUUGCGCCGGCGAUGGUUCAUUCAAAUUUCUGCCCUAUCAACUUUCGAUUGUAGGAUAGUGGCCUACAAUGGUUUCAACGGGUAACGGGGAAUUAGGGUUCUAUUCCGGAGAGGGAGCCUGAGAAACGGCUACCACAUCCAAGGAAGGCAGCAGGCGCGCAAAUUACCCAAUCCCGAUACGGGGAGGUAGUGACAAUAAAUACUGAUACAGGGCUCUUUUGGGUCUUGUAAUUGGAAUGAGUACAAUUUAAAUACCUUAACGAGGAACAAUUGGAGGGCAAGUCUGGUGCCAGCAGCCGCGGUAAUUCCAGCUCCAAUAGCGUAUAUUAAAGUUGUUGCAGUUAAAAAGCUCGUAGUUGAACCUUGGGCCUGGCUGGCCGGUCUGCCUCACCGCAUGUACUGGUUCGGCCGGGUCUUUCCUCCUGGGGAUCCGCAUGCCCUUCACUGGGUGUGUUGGGGAACCAGGACUUUUACUUUGAAAAAAUUAGAGUGUUCAAAGCAGGCCUUUGCUCGAAUACAUUAGCAUGGAAUAAUAGAAUAGGACGUGCGGUCCUAUUUUGUUGGUUUCUAGGACCGCCGUAAUGAUUAAUAGGGAUAGUCGGGGGCAUCAGUAUUCAGUUGUCAGAGGUGAAAUUCUUGGAUUUACUGAAGACUAACUACUGCGAAAGCAUUUGCCAAGGAUGUUUUCAUUAAUCAGUGAACGAAAGUUAGGGGAUCGAAGACGAUCAGAUACCGUCGUAGUCUUAACCGUAAACUAUGCCGACUAGGGAUCGGGCGAUGUUAUUCUUUUGACUCGCUCGGCACCUUACGAGAAAUCAAAGUCUUUGGGUUCUGGGGGGGAAUAUGGUCGCAAGCUGACAA
Molecule: ribosomal RNA, 1094 nt
Filed under: Lasiodiplodia parva
Lineage: Eukaryota; Fungi; Ascomycota; Dothideomycetes; Botryosphaeriales; Botryosphaeriaceae
Description: SSU rRNA
Rfam family: Eukaryotic small subunit ribosomal RNA
Source: RNAcentral